RNAcentral lists this ribosomal RNA (460 nucleotides) under uncultured bacterium. RNAcentral describes it as "partial 16S ribosomal RNA". It matches the Rfam family "Bacterial small subunit ribosomal RNA", at positions 338 to 795 of the family's 1533-position model. The record is from RNAcentral.
CCUACGGGAGGCAGCAGUGAGGAAUAUUGGUCAAUGGUCGUGAGACUGAACCAGCCAAGUAGCGUGCAGGAUGACUGCCCUAUGGGUUGUAAACUGCUUUUAUGCGGGGAUAAAAUGCUCCACGUGUGGGGUUUUGUAGGUACCGUAUGAAUAAGGACCGGCUAAUUCCGUGCCAGCAGCCGCGGUAAUACGGAGGGUCCGGGCGUUAUCCGGAUUUAUUGGGUUUAAAGGGAGCGUAGGCGGGAUGUUAAGCGAGCUGUGAAAUGCCGUGGCUCAACCGUGACACUGCGGUUGAAACUGGCUUUCUUGAGUGCGCGAGACGUAUGCGGAAUUCGUGGUGUAGCGGUGAAAUGCUUAGAUAUCACGAAGAACUCCGAUUGCGAAGGCAGCAUACGGGAGCGCAACUGACGCUGAAGCUCGAAGGCGCGGGUAUCGAACAGGAUUAGAUACCCUUGUAGUC